Molecule: long non-coding RNA, 1565 nt
Organism: Equus caballus (horse)
Lineage: Eukaryota; Metazoa; Chordata; Mammalia; Perissodactyla; Equidae
Source: Ensembl
GGAAAAUCUGAGCUGGGCGGAUCAGCAGCUCCCAGCCUGGUGCUUGGCAGGCUCAGCAGCACAAGCUGACUGCUGCUGGGAAGAAACUCCCUGUUCACUAUCUUCACUUCCUGGACUGCCCAAGUCAGUGCAGACUCAUUUCUGGAAGGAUAUCCCUUGACUUCCAGGUAGCCACAGGCGCUCUGCCCAGGGACCUGCAGCAGCACGGUCUUAUAGAAAGGGCCUGGACUCGGAAGCCACACAAAGUUGCAAGUGAAUGACUGAUGCUAAUUUAUAAAGCCUGGGAACACAGCAAAGGAGUUCAGGAGAACUGAUCACAUUGGUGGCUAAUCACUGAUAUGCAGCUUGGCCGUGGCAAGGAUUGAAAUGAAAAUUGUGUGUCAGUCUUUGACAUUGAAACGGAUGACAGUAAUCAGCCCCAUGCAACAGAUCAUUUCAUUCAACUACGCAGACGCAUUUUGCAGCUAAUCCUUCUUGCGAGACUAUUACUAUGAAUCACACCUUUUUAGCUGUGUGGUCCAGAAUCUAAGUGUCUCAGAAGGUCCUGUGAGAGGGAAAGGUUUGCGCUGCCUGGCGGCACAGGGCAGACAUCUCGACUCUCACAUAUGCCCACUCUGUGGACUUGCUUUAAGCCUAUGGGCCGAGAUUGCAAACUGGCAGCCGGUGGACCGCACACAGCCUGUGGAUGUGUUCUAUUUGGCUCCACACUGUUUUGCUUUUAUUUUAUUUUUUGUUGAGGAAUAUUAACCCUGAGCUAACUGCUGCCAAUCCUCCUCUUUUUGCUGAGGAAGACUGGCCCUCAGCUAACAUUCAUGCCCAUCUUCUUCUACUUGACAUGUGGGACGCCUACCACAGCAUGGUUUGUCUAGCGGUGCCAUGUCCGCACCUGGGAUCCGAACUGGCGAACCCGGGCUGCCAAAGCGGAAGGGAAGAGCUGGCAACACUGACGCUGCGGUAACAUCAUGUGGGGCUGAGCGGAGAUGCUCGCUGGAGAUGGGACCACCGUUACCUACUGUCUCCCUCCCACUCAGUUCCAUUCACGUAUGGAAACUGCCUGGGCCCUGAAGGCGUUUGAGCUGGGGACUCUUGGCCUGUGAAGUCCCCUUUUGUCACUGGAAGAGAGCACAGCUGCUAGCGUUCUGUUCCUUUGGGCUCUCUAACCUCUCUUCCUCCACCAGCAAUGAUACCAGCAGGAAUCAGUGUUUGUGAUUCCUUCGGAUAUGUCUUCCCUGAGUUUAUAUUUAAUGCCACAGUUGAAGACAUGUGUCAUGUGACCAGUAGGUUCUCAUAUGAGGAUGAAGGGGAGGAAUCUGUCUUUGAAAUUUGCCUCUCUGCACCGUUUCUGGGUUCUUUGAAGUCCAGCGGCUUCUGUGUGUAUAGAGGAACACUCUCUGCGACCUCCAGUAUAACUGAUGCUCAAUUUCUCAAAUUUAUUUAUCUAAUAAAACUUAGAAAAUUAAAAUUUCUUAAACUACAUUUUUACGUUUAGGUCCUGACUACAAAUUAUAUUUCUUUUGGGUGAAAAUAACAGAAAGCCCUGACUGAAAAUGGCUUAACCGAGGAGG